Molecule: ribosomal RNA, 433 nt
Filed under: uncultured bacterium
Lineage: Bacteria
Description: partial 16S ribosomal RNA
Rfam family: Bacterial small subunit ribosomal RNA
Source: RNAcentral
AACGAACGCUGGCGGCAGGCUUAACACAUGCAAGUCGAGCGCAUCCUUCGGGGUGAGCGGCAGACGGGUGAGUAACGCGUGGGAAUCUACCUUUUGCUACGGAAUAGCUCCGGGAAACUGGAAUUAAUACCGUAUGUGCCCUUAGGGGGAAAGAUUUAUCGGCAAGAGAUGAGCCCGCGUUGGAUUAGCUAGUUGGUGGGGUAAAGGCCUACCAAGGCGACGAUCCAUAGCUGGUCUGAGAGGAUGAUCAGCCACAUUGGGACUGAGACACGGCCCAAACUCCUACGGGAGGCAGCAGUGGGGAAUAUUGGACAAUGGGCGCAAGCCUGAUCCAGCUAUGCCGCGUGAGUGAUGAAGGCCUUAGGGUUGUAAAGCUCUUUCACCGGAGAAGAUAAUGACGGUAUCCGGAGAAGAAGCCCCGGCUAACUUCGUG